Molecule: long non-coding RNA, 961 nt
Organism: Mustela erminea (ermine)
Lineage: Eukaryota; Metazoa; Chordata; Mammalia; Carnivora; Mustelidae
Exons: 3
Source: RefSeq, a predicted model, not a curated record
CACCAGCGCCGCGUGCCGGGGCCGGGAGGCUGCGGCGAGCGCGCGCGUGGAGGUGCUGCGGCACCGCCGCCUCCGCCGCUUCGUGCGCCCGGCGGCCGGAGCCCGCGUCCGAAGAGCCGGGGCCUGCGGGGCUUGCGGGGCUUGCGGGGCUUGCGGGGCUUGCGGGGCAGGGCCGGCGGGUGGGCUGGCCGGGGAGAGGCACUCCCCGGGGCCGGAGGCGGGGAGGUCUUCCCCGCAGAGUGGCCGCCAGACGACGGAAAGUUUUUUGCACGCAGCCCUUCCAGCGUGUCCUUCCCUCGCCGGCUCCCCGUCGUCCACGGUGAGGCGCCCCCCACGGAGACCCACCCCCACCGCCGCGGCCCAGUGAGGGGAAGCGGGGCAGGGUUUUCCCCCCUCCCAGCAUCCCAAGCCCGGGAGGGACCCCGGUGAUGACCUCUCCUGCUAGCCACCACUCCCUUGUCCCUUUCUCUCUCCUGUCACGGCGGACCUUGGGACCGUGGAGGAUUCCGCGGAUGCCUUUGGGAGCUGAGACCCGUGGGUAGAUGGAAGUGGUUCUAAAACGCAGGAUAUGCUAGACACUGUGCUUGACAUUUCAUUCCAAAUAUCCAUCCAUCCAUCCAUCCAACAAAUAUUGCCUAUCAUGGACAAGUGCCUUCCACAGAGGAAGACAAAUGAGACCUAGCCCCUUGUAUAGAUGCAGUCUGGUGGUCUCUAUGGAAGAAGGAAAGUGUAAAACUUAUCAACUCCUUGGAAAAACAAGACAAGUGCCCAGCGACUGGCCAGAGCAGUGAACCGUAUGGUCUCACAGAGCUGCGCCUUUUCAUAAGAGGAACCAGAUUCUAGUUUGGAAUGACCAGAAAAAUGUGUCACAGAGAAGAUGGGAUUUGCUCUGCACCUUAGAGAUUGGGGAGGAUGUAUCAUGAGAGAUCACAAGUAGGGAGAGAGGCAGGCAGAGAGAGAG